Conger conger (European conger) is the source of this 863-nucleotide non-coding RNA. The record is from the annotation of a RefSeq genome assembly. Lineage: Eukaryota; Metazoa; Chordata; Actinopteri; Anguilliformes; Congridae.
AGCAGCUGAGCCCACUGAAAGCCUCCCUUUCUGAUCAGCACUAUGGCCACUUACACACUGGCCUGUGGAGCUGCUGGUCACAGUCAGCAGCAGCACCGUCAGGAUUCAACACCAGAUGGUAACUUCCACUUUCAUAUCAGUGUUAGUACCUCAGGAGAAACAGUGCUACUGCUCUAAGCACAAUUCAAAAUGAAGUUCAAGUGGCCAUUGGCUCAAGACUGCUUUUUUAAGUUGUCGAAAUGAGGUCUGUUGAAGAUUAAGAAGAAGACAAAUUAAAAAUGAAUAAUUAGCACUGUGGUUUUCCAUGCUGCUGAAUGUCUCUGGGGUGCGCAAAAGCAGGAAUCCAUGAUGACGUCCAAAGAGGAGGUGACACAGUUCCCACCCUCACAGUCCUGCCCCCCUCCAGUGUGGAGCUGAAGCAGGGAAAGGCCACACUGGUGUGUCUGGCCAACAAGGGCUUCCCCUCAGACUGGACUCUGCGCUGGAAAGUGGACGGUACCAGUAGGAGCUCGGGCGUGGCCGGGAGUGUGGGGGUCCUGGGGAAGGACGGCCUGUACAGCUGGAGCAGCUCCCUGACUCUCAGUGAGAACGACUGGGUGAAGGCAGGGUCACUGACCUGUGAGGCCACAAAGGGCUCCCUGUCUGCCCCCCCUCAGACACUGAGGAGAGCCCACUGUUCUUAGUAGGCCGGGUGGAGGCCCAGCUCACACACUCUGGUCACACUGUUUUUACCCUGUUCUGCCCUCAGCCUCUCUGCUCCUUACUGCUGUCACACUGAGCUGAGCCUGUGUGUGAAUCCUUCCCCCAGCCUGAGCUUUCAGUGCUAAUAUCUGACAUGUGCUCUGCUUGUGCUCUUCAACAAA